This 328-nucleotide long non-coding RNA is filed under the name Cucumis sativus (cucumber). RNAcentral's name for it is "long non-coding RNA (CSAT_LNC002242)". Lineage: Eukaryota; Viridiplantae; Streptophyta; Magnoliopsida; Cucurbitales; Cucurbitaceae. The record is from RNAcentral.
CCAGGAGAGUAGAAACAAAGGUCAACCCUUCACUUGUAUCGUGUAUUCCAUACUCAUCCCUUGGGUGGCUACGGUGGCACGUUCCCUCGAUGUUGCGUCGGUUCAUCUUUGGAUUCAACCGGCUGUCGUUUUCGCAUUGUAUUACUAUUACAACAACGGAUAUUACGACGAAAUUCAAAGGAUUGCCUCUGGGGAUGAUCCUAGUUCAACGAGUAUUAAAUUACCUGGGCUUCCAUUGUUGAGUGCUCGUGAUCUUCCAUCAUUUUUUGGUGCUUCAGAUGGUUAUUCUUUUGCACUCCCAAUGUUUAGGAAGCAAUUUGAAUUACUA